AGUGAACGCUGGCGGUAGGCCUAACACAUGCAAGUCGAACGGCAGCACAGUAAGAGCUUGCUCUUACGGGUGGCGAGUGGCGGACGGGUGAGGAAUACAUCGGAAUCUACUUUUUCGUGGGGGUUAACGUAGGGAAACUUACGCUAAUAUCGCAUAUGAUCCACCGGGGAAAGCAGUGGAUAUUCGGAGCUUGCGCGAAUGAAUGAGCCGAUGUCGGGUUAGCUAGUUGGGGGGGGAAAGGCCCACCAAGGCGAGGAUCCGUAGCUGGUCUGAGAGGAUGAUCAGCCACCCUGGAACUGAGACACGGUCCAGACUCCUACGGGAGGCAGCAGUGGGGAAUAUUGGACAAUGGGCGCAAGCCUGGUCCAGCCAUCCCGCGUGGGUGAAGAAGGCCUUCGGGUUGUAAAGCCCUUUUGUUGGGAAAGAACAGCAGCAGGUUGAUACCCCGCUGUUCUGACGGUACCGAAAGAAUAAGCACCGGCUAACUUCGUG
Molecule: ribosomal RNA, 492 nt
Filed under: uncultured bacterium
Lineage: Bacteria
Description: partial 16S ribosomal RNA
Rfam family: Bacterial small subunit ribosomal RNA
Source: RNAcentral